This 262-nucleotide ribosomal RNA is filed under the name uncultured bacterium. Its description in RNAcentral is "partial 16S ribosomal RNA". It matches the Rfam family "Bacterial small subunit ribosomal RNA", at positions 793 to 1055 of the family's 1533-position model. The record is from RNAcentral.
GUCCACGCCGUAACGAUGAGAACUAGGUGUUGCGGGUAUUGACCCCUGCAGUGCCGCAGCUAACGCAUUAAGUUCUCCGCCUGGGGAAGUACGGUCGCAAGACUAAACUCAAAGGAAUUGACGGGGCCCGCACAAGCGGUGGAGCAUGUGGUUUAAUUCGACGCAACGCGCAGAACCUUACCUGGGCUUGACAUCUGCGGAAUCCGGCUGAAAGGUCGGAGUGCCUUCGGGAGCCGCAAGACAGGUGCUGCAUGGCUGUCGU